RNAcentral lists this ribosomal RNA (301 nucleotides) under uncultured bacterium. RNAcentral describes it as "partial 16S ribosomal RNA". It matches the Rfam family "Bacterial small subunit ribosomal RNA", at positions 509 to 807 of the family's 1533-position model. The record is from RNAcentral.
CAGUCGCCACGGGAAUACGAAGGGUGCAAGCGCUAAUCGGAAUUACUGGGCGUAAAGCGUGCGUAGGCGGUGAGUUAAGUCUGCUGUGAAAUCCCCGGGCUCAACCUGGGAAUGGCAAUGGAUACUGGCAAGCUAGAGUGUGUCAGAGGAUGGUGGAAUUCCCGGUGUAGCGGUGAAAUGCGUAGAGAUCGGGAGGAACAUCAGUGGCGAAGGCAGCCAUCUGGGACAACACUGACGCUGAGGCACGAAAGCGUGGGGAGCAAACAGGAUUAGAUACCCCCGUAGUCCCUGUCUCUUAUAC